GGGGAAUAUUGCACAAUGGGGGAAACCCUGAUGCAGCGACGCAGCGUGCGGGAUGACGGCCUUCGGGUUGUAAACCGCUUUCAGCAGGGAAGAAGCCUUUCGGGGUGACGGUACCUGCAGAAGAAGUACCGGCUAACUACGUGCCAGCAGCCGCGGUAAUACGUAGGGUACAAGCGUUGUCCGGAAUUAUUGGGCGUAAAGAGCUCGUAGGUGGUUGGUCACGUCUGCUGUGGAAACGCAACGCUUAACGUUGCGCGUGCAGUGGGUACGGGCUGACUAGAGUGCAGUAGGGGAGUCUGGAAUUCCUGGUGUAGCGGUGAAAUGCGCAGAUAUCAGGAGGAACACCGGUGGCGAAGGCGGGACUCUGGGCUGUAACUGACACUGAGGAGCGAAAGCAUGGGGAGCGAAC
This 409-nucleotide ribosomal RNA is filed under the name uncultured bacterium. RNAcentral's name for it is "bacterial SSU rRNA". It matches the Rfam family "Bacterial small subunit ribosomal RNA", at positions 356 to 773 of the family's 1533-position model. The record is from RNAcentral.